ACCAUCUAAGUUCUGUUCACAGUACUCGUAUAUCAUUCUCUAUUUGUUGGUAAGUCUGGCUCAGUUAGUCUACUUACUAAUUCUUACUUUAAUUGAUAAGAAAAUAAGUUUAACCAGAUGGCCUAUCUCAAUCAUUUGCCUUUUUAAAGGAAAAGUUAUACCUCAGCAUGUAAACUAUCUGAGAAGCUAAUUCCUUUUGCAAUUCUUCUUUUUAAGCAUUCUAAUUAAGUUUCCAAAGUACUGCAAUAUAAAAUAAUCAGUGAAAGCCAAAAUAGUCAUUAAGAUUUUUAAUUCCUCUCUUAACUUCUGUUCUUAAACUUUUCCCCUAUGGACUCUCACUUUCUACUCUCAAUUUUUCUUUAUCCUCUCCUUGGCAGUUUAAACUCCGACAGCCAUUUACUUAACUUUUAUUUCUGUAUCAGCCAUAUGAAAAACUGCUAAUAAACACAAACCACUGCAAAAUACUGAGUUGGAGAAAAUCAUGAAUUCCACUGGAAGCCUGACUAGACUACUAGACUUGUGAUUUAAUUUCAACUAGGUCUUUCCUGAUGCUCAACAAUCCCUCAUCCUUUUCUUAUCUCAUGGUGACCUUGUGUAACAUUCUCCACAGUUGUUGUUCCAAACCUCCCCAGGUUCCUGCCAGCCCACUAGGAGCUGACAUUGCUGCUUAUUUAGAUGGAAGCUAUCCAGAGUAAGCUCCAUUAUCUUCUCACUUAAUUCACAAUCUCCCUAUAUGUUCACUUAUUUUUAUUAUUCUUCCCAAUUAUCUCAAAGCAAGAGCAGUUCUGCUUUUACUCUAAGACCAAUUUCUCCACCUGACCCUGGAAUAUCUUCAUUUGUGCCUCUUCUAGAAACUUAUGCUAUCAGUUAUCCUUUUUUCUAGGCAUUUUCAGUCUCUGGCCACUAGCUGUUCUUUUCCAUUAAACAGAAAUGUAGAAAACAUCUAUCAGAAGAAAUAGAUUUGUCCCUACACUUUUAAGCCUACCUGCCUCAUCCAGGCCCUGGAAGGUAGAGCUAAACACUUCUAAAGUGAUAGUGAGGGCAACCCCAUAAUUCUAAUAUUUACCCCUAUUCCACUCUACCUCUGCCUGGCUUUUAACGACUCCCAUUUUAAGUCCUUGUGGACUGAAUGAUUGUUAUUUCCUCAGUGACUAUCUUUAAGAAACCUCUCUGACUUUUCUUACUCUUUCUUUCUGUACUUGCAAAGCAACUCCAGGCACCAGUUUCUUUGGAGGCCUUCCUUUGGCAAAAACUGUUCUCACACAAAGCUGAUAAAAGAGAAGGCUCCUGCAGCAUGGCCUGUGGUGUUCUGACUGAUGUGAUACUGCUAUUAUUACCAGCUAAUAUUUAUUGAAUAUGAGCAUUCAGGUACCAUCCCAAGCCCUUUAUAGGUAUUACCUCAUUAAAUCUUCACAACAACCCUUUAAGGCUGGACCAUUAUUGUCUCAGUUCUACCUAAGCAGAACUGACUCGCAAUUAAUAAUAUCCUUACUCAAGGUCCCACACAGCUGGUUAAUAAGAGAAGGGAGUCUAAAGAAUCAGCCUUUUCAUGAAAGUAUGCUACUCAGGCAAACUUUUCUAAUGACUUUUGUGCACAGUUUAAAGAAAAGCUCUUAACUGCUUCAAACAUUGUUUAACAUUAUUCUUCCCAAACUGUAGAACACCUCUUGGGAGCCUCAUGUUGAAAGAAGAAAAUGCCUAAAAAUCAAGUCAAGAUCUAACUGGUUUUCCUCUUCUACUAAUCAAAUUUCAUAAUCGAGAGUCUUCAGUGAUUCCAACAUAUCUAAGCAUACCACCCACAAGUGAAGUCAUAAGCACCAUGAUAUUAACAAGGUGUAAGAAUUUUAAGUGUCAAAACCAACAACUUGAGGAUAAUCACUAAAUUUUAAAUUUGACAAAUUUCAUCCAUAAAUUAGAUUCAUUUAAAUGGCUAUACAAAUCACUGAUAUCUUUUUCAAGAUUUUUUAUUUAAUGUGCAAAUUAGUCCCUGAUAUAAUUGGACAUAUAGCUACUGAUUGAAAGAGCAAAGCGAAUCUGGUGAGUAGCUAAAAGAAUGAGCCCAAGAGACUAUACAAAGAUUUUCUUUACUGUAUUAAGUUCAUAAAGGGUAAUUCAUAACCAAUGGAAGGCCCAUUUAGUAGUUUCCCAAAGAAAGAUGAGUUAAGAAUUUUCAGACUCAGUCAAAUCAAUUCUUUAUAUUCAUAUGGAACUUCACAAUGUGUAAAGCAUUUUCCUUCCAUUCUUACAAUUGAGGCUCUCAAUUCCACUGGGUAGACAAGCUUUCCAGGAAAUUUUGUUUCUAUUUUAAAAAUUUAUUUCCUCUUCUGCCUUGGCUUUCAGGAAGCCUAGAGAUAAACUGAAUGGUUAAGUAUAAAACUAAGUGCAACUUUGUAUCUCUUGCCUCUAUACUAUUCUGACCUUUCUUUCUCUGAUUCUUUAAAAAAAAAUUAGUUGCUUUAAACAUUUGAUUUUAACUUUCCACAAGUUCUUUACAAAGCUUUUGGGGCAUAAAUUUCAAAUAAAUAAAGAUUGAUAAAUCCUUAUCCUAACAAAAUGGUAGGCCCAAGGACUGAUCACAAAGGGCAAAAAACCAAUCUAAUCCCAAAUUGCAUCCAUCAAAAGAAUCUUGAUAUUUCACACCACCAUAGAAAAAAACUCAGAGGAACAUAAUAUGAUGAACAAAACAGAUGUGCACUUAAGGCCUAUUAAGAUAAAUGAAUAUUUCACAUAUUGUUCUCCUAUGAACAUUUAAAUAGAUCUACAUUAUCUGAUUAAAUGGAUGCACAGUAUUUAAUUUUAGGUGAUUAUUUAAAUUUUAUGGAUGAUUAUUUAAAUUUGAAAAUUUUUCCACAUUAACAGACAUUUACAAGAAAGGUGGAACAGAUUGUUAUAAUAUUGUUUGAACUUUCAAAAAUCUGAACUUCCUGCUCAUAUCUUUACUCAUUUCCCUAUUUGGCUAUUUCCAGGUUUGUUUGUUUUUUUUUUUCUUUAUUCAUCUCUGAAGGUGUAAAUAUUAUGGAUCAUUUUAUCUUUCUCUCGUGUGAAAAAUAUGUUUCACAGUCUAUCAGAAACCUGAAGAAAAUAAGUGAAAGGAGCCUUCCAUCUGGGAGAAGAGCAGUUAGAGUACUGGAAAGAGCAAGUGACAGACCACAACAAGGAGCCCAGUAUAAUUAAUAAGUGAUACAAGAGAACUAUGCUGGGAUAUGAGGUCAGACAGGUAAUUUGUGGAAAGAUCACAUAGGGCCAAGGAGGUUCUCAUAAGCAGUUUGGAUUUUACUCAGAAUAAGAUGGGAAACCUUUGGAAGAUCGUGAGGAAAUAAAAGAUAUAAUCAUGUUUUAAAAUAACUGUUCUUAUUUAUGGAUGGAGUAUAGACUUGUAGGAAGAGGACAGGGCAAGGGCAAAAUAAGGAGGAAUAGUUAGAAAGAAAGAUGAUUUCACUGCGGACGAGAAUUGUGCUAGUGAGUGUUUUUCAAGUUUUGGAUACAUUUUGAAGAUAAACCAAGCAUGAUUUGCUUACAGAUUAGACAAGGAAUAUGAGAGAAAAAAGAAUUACACAUGUGGGGGGACCACUUGGACACUCAGAGUUAGUAUGAAGAUUAUUUUAAUUGCAGACAUUGGAGAUACAGAUAUAGAAAGAAGACUUUUCAGAGUUUAUCUGGAACUUUCCAGAGUUUAUCUGACUAAAGCAGAAACUUCUGGGAGUGAGACUGCAUCACUUUUGGAGUAGCAUGACUCCCAGGAAAGAGACAGAGGAUAAAAAUUGACAUAAAUCCAUCCUUUAUAAUUUUUCUUGCUAAGGAAAAAACAAAGACCACCACUCACACCUGCGUAAACAAAUAUUACUGCAAACCACCUUAUCUGCCAUUUGUUUCUCUAAAAGCCCACUUGUUUUUCCAAGAAGUCAUUUGAUCUUCCCAAAGAAGUCUUUUCUCCCUGUUUCAUUUUCCCUAUUAAGUCAGGUAUAUAAACCCCUAACUCUAAUUACCGAGCUAGCUAUUUCAAUUGUGUGCUGCCAUAUGCAUAUGAAUAAACUUGGUCUUUUAUCCUGUUAACCUGCCAAUUUCAGUCAAUUUCUAGGCCUUCAAUCACAGAACCUGUCUAUAGUGGAAAAAUUUCUCAUUUUAACAGAUGAUUCCAAGGUUUUUGGUCCAAACAAAUGGGAGGAUAGAACUGCCACUGACAGAGACGGGGAAAACUUAAGGUCAAAUAGGUUGCACAUGGGAAAUCAAAAUUUCAGGUAGAUUUAAAAUGUCUAUUAGAAAUUCAAGUAAAUUUCCUACUUGAAAAUUAGGACCCUACUCAGUCACCCGCAGUUGACCCCGGCCUGGGCCAUGCCACUUCAUGACCGUCUGCAACUGGCCCCCACCACCUUGCAGGUACCUGUAAGCAGUCUGUGCAGAAAAGCAUGUGCACACACCAGCCACCACUACCACAUGCACUGAUUCCAAGUUGCUGGACCUUGGGGCACUGCUAAGGACCCCAAUAGCCCUUGUAGCCACUGUAGAUUCUCCAUAGCUCUCACCAAGGAUCAAAACUUGUUGAUGUAGGACCCCAAGUGCCUGAGCCAAUGAGACACAACACACCCCUGGCCCAGGGCCUCCCUAUGUCCCUGAAUGUGGCACAUCACAUCACUAGACUUGAGAUCACAGCAGGCUCAAGCCUGCUUCCACUUGCAGAUGUUCCUUCCUUACCAAAGUCAGUCAAAAUGGUCUGGAAGAGGAGUUCCCGUCGUGGCGCAGUGGUUAACGAAUCCGACUAGGAACCAUGAGGUUGCGGGUUCGGUCCCUGCCCUUGCUCAGUGGGUUAACGAUCCAGCGUUGCCGUGAGCUGCUUGCGGUGUAGGUUGCAGACGCGGCUCGGAUCCAGCGUUGCUGUGGCUCUGGCAUAGGCCGGUGGCUACAGCUCUGAUUCGACCCCUAGCCUGGGAACCUCCACAUGCCGCAG
RNAcentral lists this long non-coding RNA (4945 nucleotides) under Sus scrofa (pig). Its description in RNAcentral is "lncRNA (ENSSSCG00060010636.1)". Lineage: Eukaryota; Metazoa; Chordata; Mammalia; Artiodactyla; Suidae. The record is from RNAcentral.